RNAcentral lists this ribosomal RNA (496 nucleotides) under uncultured bacterium. Its description in RNAcentral is "partial 16S ribosomal RNA". It matches the Rfam family "Bacterial small subunit ribosomal RNA", at positions 29 to 507 of the family's 1533-position model. The record is from RNAcentral.
AUGAACGCUGGCGGCGUGCCUAAUACAUGCAAGUCGCGCGAACAGACGAGGAGCUUGCUCCUCUGACGUUAGCGGCGGACGGGUGAGUAACACGUGGAUAACCUACCUAUAAGACUGGGAUAACUUCGGGAAACCGGAGCUAAUACCGGAUAAUAUAUUGAACCGCAUGGUUCAAUAGUGAAAGACGGUUUUGCUGUUACUUAUAGAUGGAUCCGCGCCGCAUUAGCUAGUUGGUAAGGUAACGGCUUACCAAGGCAACGAUGCGUAGCCGACCUGAGAGGGUGAUCGGCCACACUGGAACUGAGACGCGGUCCAGACUCCUACGGGAGGCAGCAGUAGGGAAUCUUCCGCAAUGGGCGAAAGCCUGACGGAGCAACGCCGCGUGAGUGAUGAAGGUCUUCGGAUCGUAAAACUCUGUUAUUAGGGAAGAACAAAUGUGUAAGUAACUAUGCACGUCUUGACGGUACCUAAUCAGAAAGCCACGGCUAACUACGUG